AUCGUUGUCUAAGAACAUUUCACAGUCAGAGUUCCUGAGCAGCUCUCAGAGAAGACGAUGAAAAAUGUCCUCAUGCAGGAAAACAGAGCUGCAGUGAAU
Long non-coding RNA from Micropterus salmoides (largemouth bass), 99 nucleotides. RefSeq lists it as uncharacterized. The record is from RefSeq and is a predicted model, not a curated record. The transcript is spliced from 3 exons. Lineage: Eukaryota; Metazoa; Chordata; Actinopteri; Centrarchiformes; Centrarchidae.